GUCUGCCUUCCAGCUAUGCACUGCGAAAAGAAAUUGCCAGUGGAUGAGAUGGCAGAAUCAGUGGAACGUGUGUGACCUUCACCACAUUGUUGAAUGAUGGCUCAUCGGAAGAUAUAAAGAGUAAAGGACUGCUGGGCAAGACGAUCGAAUAAAAAACAACCCAGAGGUCAGGGGAUUAUCUUCUUUCAAGACUUUCAAGACUUCAAUGACUGCACCAUUAUCACCAGACAAAUCUCCAAAAGUCACUCCCGAGUUGGCCUGAAAUCAAGCACGAAGCAAAAGGUAUGUUUUCUUCCCCUCUGCAUUGUUCCUUUAGAAUACCAUUAUUUUGGUAGAU
This 337-nucleotide long non-coding RNA is filed under the name Ursus maritimus (polar bear). RNAcentral describes it as "lncRNA (ENSUMAG00000008675.1)". The record is from RNAcentral. Lineage: Eukaryota; Metazoa; Chordata; Mammalia; Carnivora; Ursidae.